This is a long non-coding RNA of Dermochelys coriacea (leatherback sea turtle), 1533 nucleotides long. RefSeq lists it as uncharacterized. The record is from RefSeq and is a predicted model, not a curated record. The transcript has 3 exons. NCBI's taxonomy places the organism in Eukaryota, Metazoa, Chordata, Testudines, Dermochelyidae.
AGCUGGUAUAUUAGGGACAGGCACCUCCUGCGUAGAAAUCAGUAUCUCUAACACUGGGGCUAUGCUGCUGUUUUUUUAAACUAGCAGCCCCUUCUAUCCUAGGCUUCUGUGACCCAGGGCAGUCUCUAAACAAACAGUAACUGGCAACUGUGAGGUCAUUAGUGCUAACUCAAGCAACCUGUGCUGUUUGUAACUCCCUGACCUUGGGCCCAGGCAGGGCUUAGGAAGCUGUAUUUUACCAGUGCAGCAGGAGUCUGACUGGGACAAGGGGAAGGUGAAAGGAUUAUGAGCAGAGCUUGAAUAAUGGGAAAAAGUGUUUGCGUGUGGGGGGGAGACUGAAUGUCAAGUGUCUUGCUUUAAUUUAAACAGUAACCAGAAGUAAGAGGUCCAGGAGACAGAAGUGAGGUAGCCCUUAAAAGUAAUAAGGGGGCCUGGCCUUUGUAAGCACCCUCUCCCCACUGUAAUUUACACAGUGGUUAUGAAUUUAGUGAUUGUUAACAGUAAUUCUUAGGCUGUGCUCAUUGGCUUCAUCUUACCACUGGGAGCUUGGGAGAAAAGGGAUGCUAACCCGAAGGAAAAUAUAAGCAACUGAAUGCUACCCUGCUUAGCAGAAAAGAAAGGUAGCAGCAGCUGGACACAGUGACCAGACAAUGUUUAAUGGGAGCCUCUGAGCAGGACCCCAGUGGGAAGGGAGAGUCCCGGACAAGUGGAUUGCAGUUUCAUGCAGGAAUAAAUGCGAUGCCCCCUGAAAACUCAUAUGAAUGAACGUCUCAUAAAUUUUGCACUCGAGAAAAUCUGCUGUAUCCUGUGGUCAUAAAAAAGAAAUUAAAUCUGCAUAUAACAUUCAGGAACCUGUAAUUCUGCUGCACAGCUUUAUGCCUACAUAAAUCAGUGCCUGUCAUGAAUAUUGCACAGUAUCUGCAGCUGCCUGACCCACAUGAUUUUAAAAAGAUAAAUAAAAUGAAAACAAAGCAAUAUUCACAGAAAGUCUUCACAAACAGCACCUGCUUUUUGAAAGCUUGAAAGGCCACAAAUAGCAAACUAGGAAAGGCACAGAACAUAAAGGUCUGUUAAAGCCUAAAGGUUGUGCAUAUGUUUAUUUUCCUCUUGCAACAGUGGGAGAGUGCUAGGAGUUCUAAUACACGGAAUAUCCUCCGUGGGUAUUGUAAUGGGGAAGAAGGCAUGAUGACCAUCAAGCCUUGCAGAGGGCAAGGAUCUAUGGGAAAAGCUAUGCUAUAGAUUUUGGGGAGAGGGCAUUACCUGUAGAUAGAGCUAGUCAGGAAUUCAUCGUUGGAACGUUUUUUUCAGAAUCUGCUGAUUCAUUGAAACCAAAAUUGUUUGUGGGAAAGCAUAUGUUUUGACAAAUCUCUCACUUCCAAAGGUUUUGAGAAAAAGUUUCAAAAUUGUCUAAAUGUCCCAUUUUGAUACUUUGAAAUUUUCAUUUUCUGCUUCAAAAUGACUGUUCCAAGAUGUUAGUUACUUUUUUUAACACUAUAAAUUUAAAAUCAAAAUUAAGUGCCUUGAUUGACAUGA